Molecule: ribosomal RNA, 477 nt
Filed under: uncultured bacterium
Lineage: Bacteria
Description: bacterial SSU rRNA
Rfam family: Bacterial small subunit ribosomal RNA
Source: RNAcentral
AUUGAACGCUGGCGGCAUGCCUUACACAUGCAAGUCGAACGGCAGCACGGGUGCUUGCACCUGGUGGCGAGUGGCGAACGGGUGAGUAAUACAUCGGAACGUACCUUAUCGUGGGGGAUAACGCAGCGAAAGCUGUGCUAAUACCGCAUACGCCCUGAGGGGGAAAGCGGGGGAUCGAAAGACCUCGCGCGAUUAGAGCGGCCGAUGCCUGAUUAGCUUGUUGGUGGGUAAAGCCACCAAGGCGACGAUCAGUAGCUGGUCUGAAAGGACGAUCAGCCACACUGGGACUGAGACACGGCCCAGACUCCUACGGGAGGCAGCAGUGGGGAAUUUUGGACAAUGGGGGAAACCCUGAUCCAGCAAUGCCGCGUGAGUGAAGAAGGCCUCGGUUGUAAACUGCUUUGUACUAGAACGAAAAGGUACUCUAUAAUACUAGGGGCGUCAUGACGGUACUGUAAGAAUAAGCACCGGCUAACU